RNAcentral lists this ribosomal RNA (1310 nucleotides) under human metagenome. RNAcentral's name for it is "bacterial LSU rRNA". It matches the Rfam family "Bacterial large subunit ribosomal RNA", at positions 1101 to 2506 of the family's 2925-position model. The record is from RNAcentral.
UUGGCUUGGAAGCAGCCAUUCAUUUAAAGAGUGCGUAACAGCUCACUAGUCGAGCGGUUCGGCAUGGAUAAUAAUCGGGCAUAAGCAUAUUACCGAAGCUAUGGCAACGAAAGUUGGGUAGGGGAGCAUUCUAUCGGCGCAGAAGCAUCACUGUGAGGUGUUGUGGAGCUUAUAGAAAAGAAAAUGUAGGCAUAAGUAACGAUAAAGCAGGCGAGAAACCUGCUCACCGAAAGACUAAGGGUUCCUCAGCCAUGCUAAUCAGCUGAGGGUUAGUCGGGACCUAACGCGAACCCGAGAGGGGAAGUGGAUGGACAAUGGGUUAAUAUUCCCAUACUUGCUCACGAAUAAAGGGGACGGUUCAGCCAGACUACUGGAGACUGACGGAAUAGUCAAGACCUAGCCUACGGGCGAAGUUGUUGUAGAGUAACUGGAUCCAAGAAAAGCCGAAGUGAAGCAACCCGUACCAUAAACCGACACAGGUAGUCGAGGAGAGAAUCCUAAGGUGCUCGAGUGAGUCGUGGCUAAGGAACUAGGCAAAAUAGUCUCGUAACUUCGGAAUAAGAGACGCCAACAGCGAUGUUGGCCGCAGUGAAGAGGCCCAGGCGACUGUUUAUCAAAAACACAGGACUCUGCUAAAUCGAAAGAUGCUGUAUAGGGUCUGACACCUGCCCGGUGCUGGAAGGUUAAGGAAGGUGCUUAGCGUAAGCGAAGGCAUUGACUGAAGCCCCAGUAAACGGCGGCCGUAACUAUAACGGUCCUAAGGUAGCGAAAUUCCUUGUCGGGUAAGUUCCGACCUGCACGAAUGGUGUAACGAUCUGGGCACUGUCUCAGCCACGAGCUCGGUGAAAUUGUAGUAUCGGUGAAGAUGCCGAUUACCCGCAAUGGGACGAAAAGACCCUGUGAACCUUUACUAUAACUUCGUAUUGACUUUGAGUAAGUAAUGUGUAGGAUAGGUGGGAGGCUAUGAAGCUGGCACGCUAGUGUUGGUGGAGCCGUUGUUGAAAUACCACCCUUUGCUUACUUGGAGCCUAACUUCUGAAUAAGAGUAAGAAGGACAUUGCGUGGUGGGUAGUUUGACUGGGGUGGUCGCCUCCAAAAGAGUAACGGAGGCUUUCAAAGGUACCCUCAGCACGCUUGGUAACCGUGCGUAGAGUGUAAUGGCAUAAGGGUGCUUGACUGUGAGACCAACAAGUCGAUCAGGUGCGAAAGCAGGACAUAGUGAUCCGGUGGUUCCGUAUGGAAGGGCCAUCGCUCAUAGGAUAAAAGGUACUCCGGGGAUAACAGGCUGAUCGCUCCCAAGAGCUCAUAUC